CUUUCAGGAAAUAUGAACCGUC
Molecule: small nuclear RNA, 22 nt
Filed under: Arabidopsis thaliana (thale cress)
Lineage: Eukaryota; Viridiplantae; Streptophyta; Magnoliopsida; Brassicales; Brassicaceae
Description: snRNA_02631
Source: RNAcentral